CAUGGAAUAGUUGAAGUCUUUAAUAUGUUGAGAACACAUACAGAACGUGGAAGCUAGACAAACAAGAAUCAAAUGCAGCUCAUAGAAAACAUAUAGUUCGUAUUGAUUCUGCUAUGCGAGAGAAAGAGAGAGAGUGUGUGUGUCAUGGCUAGUUGAUGUCCACUAUAUGCUGUGAAGAAGGUCGAAGAAAAAUAAAAACCAGUUGCAGUCAGAGGCUACGUUUAGUCUAUAGAUGUAUGCUAUCCAGCCAAGGAAGAAUGAACUAGGCGCAGGUGUAUGCCAUGCAUGUCAACAGAUUUUGACCCACCCUUAUGUUUGACAAUCCCGGUGCCCGGUCCAUCAGGUUCAGAUAACCUGCAUUAUCUUGCCUUUUCCGACUUUGCUUUGACACUUUCGGUAUCCCAAUAUUCACAAAGGUCCUUCCAUGCAUCCUCGUCAAUGUAUCCGGGCAUACCUCCUCCCUCAACUGCAUCAUCCCUCUUUAACUUCAUGUUGUGCACGAAGUCGCUAUACCUCAUGGCUGCCCUUUGAGACCAUUUCCUAGUUUAUAAAACAAGAAAUAUGAAGGAAUGAUCUACAUUACCUGUUAUGUUGUGAAGAGGAGGCAAGGGGGCUGAAUCUGAUCAGUUAAGACCAAGUCUGAAAUGAUAGGAAACAAUCAACAAUAAGACAUGAAGAAUUUCACUCGGCUGAGAAAAGCGUGUUGAUGAGCUAACAUGGAGAUUAGACAUUGAGAAACACCUACGAGUAUGCUGAAAAUACACUCUCCCAAUUUAAGUAAUAAUCAAAUGUCACAGCCAGCAGCAGCAAGAACGAAUUUGCAAAUAAUUUAUACAAGCAGCCACUAAUUAUAUUGUUCAGUUAUUUUUAAAACCAAACAAAUAUAUCAGAUGUUAGAGUUAUUGUCUAAGUAUUAGAUAAUUAAUUUGUGGUGAUAUGCAUCCUUCAAUUAUACGUCAUAAUAAAAAUUAAUCAUCUUGCAGAUGGAUAUUGAAGAAGCUAAGGGCAGGAAUAGCAAAUCACAGACAACAUUGACAUAAGCAAGGAAAUCNGCAUACUGCUCUUUGUCAAUGUCGGACAUAGCUGAAGUACUACUCUCUCCCGAUAUAUUGGUCUUCAAGGUCAAUGCAAGACUACCUGUGCCGAACAAUCUUUGUUUUUUUAUCUAAACCGCCUCCCAAGACAUCUAGAUAAAUCUUGUUCAUAUCCACGGGCGUAUCAGGAUUAGAUUGGCCCAUCUCUGCAGCAAUUUCUUGUACCUCCACCUAAUUGAUAAAAAAUGUUAUAUAAAACAUAUUAAAAUAUACACUAUUAAAGACAUAUACUUGUUUCAGUUAAGACCAAGUCUGAAAUGAUAGGAAACAAUCAACAAUAAGACAUGAAGAAUUUCACUCGGCUGAACAGGAAAAUCUGAAAUGAAAAACAAUAAGGCACAUAAUAUUUGUGGUGGUCUGACUCCAUUCUCUAUCUCCUUAUUUAGUUUGACAGUUGUUAAGUAGCAUAGAAAGGUUGAAUAAAUUCUUUUUCUUGAUGACUUCUUUUUCUUGAUGAAUGACCUUUUUCACCAAGUAGUUCUCUUCCAAAAACAAAGCAGAGUAAACUGACAUUUAAGCUAAUCAUUGACUCUUAGAAAUUCCUAAUUAGUCAUCUAAAAAUCUACUAAUGAAACCGAAACUAUGGUCAUCAAUGGCAAAAUGUGAGUAGGUGUGAGUUUAUAUCUAACCGUAAACAAACUGUUUAUAUCUAACAGUUUCUGCAUUGCAGGUCAGAUGAGAAAUCAGCAUGUAUUGCAUUGAUGGCUCAUGAGGUACCUAUUUAUUAUUCAGACCAUCAUUUUGUGUAUAAAUAGUUACAGAGCUCAACAUAAUUGUAAUGGAUUCUGGCUCCAGGCAAGUCUCCGACAACCUAAAUUUUAUUCGUUAGCAAAUCAAUGGACUAGCUACACAUUCACAGCAAGACGAUGAAUUUAUCAAUCGUCUUUCUGAUGCAAAACAGUAGGCAUACUAAUAUUACCAUUAAGAGCAGCAUGAUAAACUCGUUUCUCUGCUAAUCCAAUAUCUGAAAGAACCAGAUUGCCCUGCAACAUAAGAGCAACAGGAAAUUCCUUUCAGAUAAAUGUAGUAAACAACAGCCACAGUAUCACACAUAGAAAGUAUAAAGUCAAA
RNAcentral lists this long non-coding RNA (2165 nucleotides) under Salvia miltiorrhiza (redroot sage). RNAcentral describes it as "long non-coding RNA (SMIL_LNC000527)". Lineage: Eukaryota; Viridiplantae; Streptophyta; Magnoliopsida; Lamiales; Lamiaceae. The record is from RNAcentral.